ACCUCCAAAGCAAUACAGAGAAACCCUGUCAUGAGUAACGCCCCCCAAAAAUAGAUAAUUUUUAUCUUUAUGAAGAAAAAUUAACAGUCAAAAAGAAUUGAAAUUUUUAAAUUAAUGAGAGAAUUGCUAAAAACAAUGUAUCUUUACUCUUUAACCUAGGCACAUUUGUUUAUUUAUAUAUGGAAUUAUAUAAUGGUCAUCUUAUGAUAUUAUAUAUGGAUAACAUAAUAUUCUUUUCAUGAAUCAAUAAUUGUUUUUUACAUCUGUAUUAAACUUUGCAAAUUAUACAAUUAAUAUGUAAUUUUUAAUUUAAAUGAUUCUGCUAUCUCCAUGUAAUUGUUAGACACGUUUUUGUGAUAAUGAAUAGCUGUAACUUUUCUAAAUUUGUUUAUGUAUUUAUACUUGUUCAAUUUUUAUAUAUUUCUCGUCUAGGAAGGUAGACAUCUAGUGUUCUCACAAAUGUAUUACAAGAAUAAGUAGCCUGGAUUACAUUAAAGGCAACAUACGACAUCAUGUAAAGUUGGUCUUGAUGAGGAACACUUACCUGCCAAGAUUAUUCUCAGCUAUAUAACAAGUUUGAGGUCAGAGUGGAGUCAUAAGACCAUGUGUCAGAAGAUAGCAUGACCAAAAAAACCCCAGAAAUUAUAAGAAUAUGUAAUCAUUCAAAUUUUAGAGUUGGCUACUAAGACUUUAUGAUUUAUAAUUCUGAAAUUUUCAAUUAGAUUGUUUUGUAAACCAUAAGGAUUUUAGCUUAAGAUGAAUAUAAUUUAACACUUGGAAUCCCUUUCCUAGAGAAGUAUGGUUUGUUGUAAUUUAAUUGAAGAAAAGAAUGAUUUUCUUUCACGGAUCUAUAUUUUAGUCCUUCAACUGAAGUGAAUACUGAUUAUUUUGCAUUACAAUAUGUAUUAUUUUGCAGUAAUGUUUGAAGAGUUUUCAAGUUAUUUAAAUAAACAAUAUAUACAUUCUCGGGAAUUGCUACAUGAGAACAACUAGAAUAAAAGAACAAUUUAUGGAAACAAAAAACAUGUUCAGAAAGAAUGUUAAAGCUUUGACACUCCUAAAGAGAAAGGAGUAAGACCACAUCUAUCUGCGUUUGUAUUUUAUACGGACCUUUGUAAAUAAACAGCUAAACAAGAAGAAAACAACCAUUUUUUCCAAUACCUUUGAUUGCCAGCAUCACAGGAGUGCUGGGUUUCCAUAUCCAACUUUCUACUCAUAACAUAGUUAUGAAUGUUUUGUGAACAUUUUUGUGAAGAAUUUUAGAACUCUGGGAUUUUAUGAGUCAGCAAAUAAUUUUGCAUUAGCCAAUGAUCAAAAGGAGAAGAUGAAAUUUAAUGUGGUCCUGAUGUCAGACUUACUAAGUCUACCUUGAUAUUAACUUACGGAGUCUAAGAAAAUUGACAUAACAAAAGUGUUUACUUGCAAGCUAUAGUUGAUCACCAAAACAGACAAUAACUGAAAGAAAAUGUCUCAAGUGUGGUGUGAACAGUCUUUCCGAUCAUGAAAAUUGAACUAAAUCGAUGGAGACUGGUGGAUCUUAGAAGACAAUAUUUUUAAGACAUUUUCAUUGCUGCUGUUGGACUAACUCAAGAAACAAGGACAAAACUACAUAGAUAAAAAUAAUAUGAUGGAAGUGACACUGGCUUCAUCACAGUGUUUUCUUAAAAUAUUCCCUGUAUGUAGUCAAAUUUUCCCUCAGAGUUGAUGCUUGCAAUUAUUUCUCAAGUUGGACAAAAUGCACUUUUAAUUUCGUUUGCACAACAUUUAAUAGAUUAAGUAGGAGAGAAUAGAUUUCAUUAAAAUUGAGUCUUCCUAUCCAACCUCAAGAUUAAGCGUGAUAUUGCAGCUAGGCAAGGGCAUCCAGGAGUCACAUUACUGAGAGCUCCACGUGCCAGAUACUUCCAUGCUCUUGGUGCCAGCGGCCUCAAGGCUCAACAGAUUGACUUGUGAAAUUGCAGCCAGUGGGCAUCCCCUCUUCAAGGUGGUGGCCAUCUUGACAAACACACAAAAUAUACCUUCUGAAAAGUUUUUAUCUACAAGACUUCCCAAUUACAGUUGCUUUUAUUUGUUGUUUCUGGAGUCUUACUCUAUGCGUCUCAUCUUACAACUUGUACAGAAGACUUCAAUGGAAUAAUAAUGACCUGCUUUUGGCAAGUAAUUGAAUGGAACAUUCAUUACUUCUGCUUUUAGUAUAUCCUGUGAUCUGAUAUUGAAUGUUACCUAGUCUCUUAUUCAUAUUUUACUUUUUAAAUGGAAGAGACUUUUAUGUGUGGGUAGUACACUUGAUGGACACAGAUAUUUUAUGAUAAUUGGAUGAUAACAAGGUUUUCUGACUAAGUUUCCUGGUAUGACAGUUUUGUUAUUAUCUGGGAUAUGGUUUCCUUUUCCUUUAACUGAGAAACUCAGAUUUUAGGCAGGCCCCAAAGAAGAUUGUCUUUCACACUGGUGUUCUCUAGAGUUGAUGUUCUGGUUGCUGUUUUGCUGACAUUGCUGGCCUAUGUCUCGGGCAUAAGUAUGAGUCUGUGGCUUGCUUUUUCUUCAGUACCCCAACUGCAGACUUCUGUAGAGAAAUGUUGUCCUUGAGUUGGUAAAGGGAGCCAUAGGGACUCUGUCUUGUAGAAUGUGUGACAUCAUCAUUUUAUUGGUAUCACCUAUGUCCUUUCAGGUGAGAGCAAAAACAUACUGUAUUAAAGAGAUUUGAGUUUGUUACACAAUGUGUUGAUUUUUCACUUGUUCCUGCUUAAACUAAGUGAAAUCAAUAUAAAGUAUGACUUAUUGUAAAUAUGAGUUGUCGGUUUCUAGACCAUACUCCUCAUUAGGUAAUUACUGCCUGCUUUCCUGAAACGGUUUGACUAAUUUUCCAGAGUAACUACAAUUGCUAGUUGUUUUUAAAGCAUCUGCGUGUGUAUGUCAUUAGGGGAGUAUGUUCAUGUCAGUAGAUUUCUGUAGAGUCAGAAAUGAAAGUUGCAUUUCCUGAAGCUAGGGUUAGAGGUGAGCCAUGAUCACUCAAGCCCUAUAUAUUUUAAGAUUAUUUACUAAUUCCUUUCUUUUGUGUGGUUUACCAAUACAUUGUUUAAUAUGGACAGUAAGGUGGCUCAGGGAAAAAAAAGGUGAUUUCCACCCAAGGCCAGCAACUCCAGUUGGCUCUGUGGAAACCAGGUGGUAUAGAAUGCAGCAGAGAACAGAAGACUUAAUGGAUUUUUUUAAAAAUCUCAUAAAUUUAUAGUACAAUUCUUGUAUCCUUGAUUAUUAUAUUAUUAUGCCAUUUCCUCUGAAAUUUAAGGUAUUACCUGUGUUCUUUAUUAAUACACAUUUAAAUUUAUAUGCCAUGGAGUUCCUCUUUUAAUAGCAAAGUUAAUGUAUUUCAGUUGAUCUCUUAGCAUUUUCUGAGUUUGGAUUGAUCUAGAUUCUAAUCAGAUACAAUGACAGUGCAUAGAACACAAGACAAUACAAGAAACUGUCAGUUUGUGUUAGGGGUCACAAAGCAUUUUAUCUGUAAGGCUCCAGAUCAUGUUGUUACAACCAGGAGUCUGUUCUUGAGGUACAAAAGCACCGAGGGCCAAUUGUUAAACUGUAUGCCAGUAAAUUGUUGCAGUGUGCAGAUUUUUGGGCCAGGUUUGGACUCUAGCAAGAUGAUUUUUUGAACCCUUCAUGUGCUGUAUAUUUCCAUUUUCAUCCAGUGGAUCUUUGUUAGGUUUUAAAAUAUAAGAUACACAAAGCAUGUCUUUGCUUGUACUAGUUUCCAAAUUCUUGACAUCAGUGCUUCUCAACCGGUGGGCUGUGACCCCUUUGGGGUUCAACAAGCCUUUUACCGGGGUCACCUCAGACUAUUCUCAUACAGAUAUUUAUAUGAAAAUUCAUAACAGUAGCCAAAUUGCAGUUACGAUGUAGCAACAAAAAGAGAUGAGGUGAGGUUGAGAAGCACUGCUAUACAUAUCCAAAUAUAUACUUGCAUUUGUCAUUGAAAUAAGUAUUUAAACCUUUUGAUACUUAACCCUUAAAAUAUCUUUUAACAAUUUGUAAAGUUUAGAUGUUUUAGUACGUUGACAUAGGGCCAUCAGCAAUGAUUAAAACAUUCUGUGGCCAUUCAUUCUUAGCUUGCUAUGCCCAUUCCACAGCAAUGAUGAGUUCACUGCUCAUGAUGUAUAUGGUUGUCAGUAACUUUCUUGUGUUGAUAUAUAAUUGUAUGUGGAGUUUGUGGUUGUAUGGUAUUCAUAUUAAUGCUUCAAAAUUUCGUAUUUCAUAUAUCAUGGAAGUAUUUCCAAACUAGUAGUUUAAGUUUAUGAAACUAUGCCUUGCUCCUCCAUGUGAUGCUGUUGAUGAUGUUGUCUAUACUUAUAUAACUAUGAAAAUAUGUUUGAAUUCCUACUUAAAUAAUACUUUUCUAAGUAUGAUAAUAUUAUAUCAUCUUCUGUGGUUUCUGUCAACAUUGUGAAAUUGUUCUUAGAUGCUUUCUGGUCUAAGCCAGAGCUGUGGUGUAAUGACAGUGCUAAUUUUCAUUGAUUCAUGCUUACUGUGCUUCAAAACAUUUAAAUAAUAGUCAUUCUAAUAGGUGAAAUAGUACUUUUAAACUUCAGCCUAAUUUAAAUGUUAAGUGGUCAAAAUCGUAUACAAUUGAAUAGUCUUUUAGAUGUAGAAACCACUGAUUCCAAAUGUUGAACUUCCUCAUAAAUUCCUUGAGUACAUACUAUAGAAAUAAGUCUUUUCUUUCUCUUUAAUAUUGAUAAAAUUUUAGAGCCAUCUACUCUUUACCUAGUCUUAUUCUGCAUUCCUCUCACCCACCACUUCCUUUCCUCUUCUCCUCUGUCCCCUCACAUCGUAUUUCUGUUUAUACAUGUCAUUUUAUUUUCUGAACUAUACAUUAGUUGCAGGUAUGAUGUUCAAAUUUCCCAAUAUUUUCUUUCAUCUACAUUAUAAAAGUGUGUGUAUGUUCCCUCAAGCCUGGCUUAAAAUUUAAAAACCUUUCUUACUCUGAUAUGUUAUUUUUGAGUUAUCAUAUUAUAUCAUAUUAUUAUCCCUCAGAAGCAUGUUUGUUUUCUAAUGAGAGACAGAAAGGGUGAUUUCUAUAUGGGAAGGGAUGUGGAGAAGAACUGGAAAGAGCAGAGGGAGGUAAAAUAAUACUUAGUAUGUGGGAAAUCUAUUUUCAAUAAAAUGAAAAAAAAUUAAGAGUAUCAACUGCAUCAUCACUAGUUUAGAAGCAUGUCAUAUACAUUGUAUAUAUUUCCAUGUCAAUAGUUGUUUUUUUCUUUCUUUUUCCAUUCUUUGGAAAUAACUUUACAGAAGCUAUAUGUCUUUAUAUUGUUUAAUCUGAAUCAAUCUUUGUCCUUGAUGGCAUUGGUGUCCUUGAGAAAUAGUACCUUUCAGGUUUUGAGAUUCUUUAGCUUCUGUUUUUAUUCCUUGUAAAAUAUUUGAGAAUAUGUAUAUGUGGCAGGAAUACUGCAGAAUAGAUGUGUGUUGCCUUCAAUAAAUCAUGUCAAGUAAAAGCA
Mesocricetus auratus (golden hamster) is the source of this 5486-nucleotide long non-coding RNA. RefSeq lists it as uncharacterized. The transcript has 6 exons. Lineage: Eukaryota; Metazoa; Chordata; Mammalia; Rodentia; Cricetidae. The record is from RefSeq and is a predicted model, not a curated record.